GACGAACGCUGGCGGCGUGCUUAACACAUGCAAGUCGAACGGAAAGGCCUCUUUCGGGGGGUACUCGAGUGGCGAACGGGUGAGUAACACGUGAGUAACCUGCCCUUGACUUUGGGAUAACUUCAGGAAACUGGGGCUAAUACCGGAUAGGAGCUCCUGCUGCAUGGUGGGGGUUGGAAAGUUUCGGCGGUUGGGGAUGGACUCGCGGCUUAUCAGCUUGUUGGUGGGGUAGUGGCUUACCAAGGCUUUGACGGGUAGCCGGCCUGAGAGGGUGACCGGCCACAUUGGGACUGAGAUACGGCCCAGACUCCUACGGGGGGCAGCAGGGGGGAAUAUUGCAAAAGGGGUGGAAGCCUGAUGCAGCAACGCCGUGUGCGGGAUGACGGCCUUCGGGUUGUAAACCGCUUUCGCUCAUGACGAAGCUUUGGGUGACGGUAGUGGGAAAAGAAGCACCGGCUAACUACGU
RNAcentral lists this ribosomal RNA (466 nucleotides) under uncultured bacterium. RNAcentral's name for it is "partial 16S ribosomal RNA". It matches the Rfam family "Bacterial small subunit ribosomal RNA", at positions 28 to 506 of the family's 1533-position model. The record is from RNAcentral.